This 253-nucleotide ribosomal RNA is filed under the name uncultured bacterium. RNAcentral's name for it is "partial 16S ribosomal RNA". It matches the Rfam family "Bacterial small subunit ribosomal RNA", at positions 524 to 776 of the family's 1533-position model. The record is from RNAcentral.
UACGGAGGGUGCAAACGUUGCUCGGAAUUAUUGGGCGUAAAGCGCACGUAGGCGGCCGACUAAGUCGGGUGUGAAAGCCCUGGGCUCAACCCAGGAAGUGCACUCGAAACUGACCGGCUUGAAUAUGGAAGAGGGUCGCGGAAUUCCCGGUGUAGAGGUGAAAUUCGUAGAUAUCAGGAGGAACACCGGUGGUGUAGACGGCUUUCUGGACCGACACUGACGCUGAGACACGAAAGCGUGGGUAGCAAACAGG